AGAUCGCUGCAAAUGGAGGUCCCACAGAGAUCAGGAAAGAAGGACAAAUGCUGAAGGAUCACACUCGAAUGCUGGCCAGCAAGUAAGGCAUCAGGUGUGAGCUCGCUUCAGAAACUGGGACUUCCACAUCAAAACGGAAGACACAGAAUCCAGGAGCUUGUCCCUAGAGUACCGUCUGAACUCUGGACGAACUAGAAGCCAAAUCUACCGGCAGGACUUGGAGAGGGUCAAGGAUAACUAAGAAAGAGUGACAGAAACAUUGGUAGAGCCUAAGGUUGGAGAAAACCAAGGUGAGACAUUCUCCUACACAUCAUGGGAUCUCUACACUCAUGAA
This is a long non-coding RNA of Mesocricetus auratus (golden hamster), 334 nucleotides long. RefSeq lists it as uncharacterized. The transcript is spliced from 3 exons. The record is from RefSeq and is a predicted model, not a curated record. Lineage: Eukaryota; Metazoa; Chordata; Mammalia; Rodentia; Cricetidae.